UACGUAGGGACCAAGCGUUGUUCGGAUUUACUGGGCGUAAAGGGCGCGUAGGCGGCGCGGUAAGUCACUUGUGAAAUCUCUGAGCUUAACUCAGAACGGCCAAGUGAUACUGCAGUGCUAGAGUGUGGAAGGGGCAAUCGGAAUUCUUGGUGUAGCGGUGAAAUGCGUAGAUAUCUGGAGGAACACCGGUGGCGAAGGCGGCAUCCUGGACCAACACUGACGCUGAUGAGCGAAAGCCAGGGGAGCAAACGGG
This 253-nucleotide ribosomal RNA is filed under the name uncultured bacterium. RNAcentral describes it as "partial 16S ribosomal RNA". It matches the Rfam family "Bacterial small subunit ribosomal RNA", at positions 524 to 776 of the family's 1533-position model. The record is from RNAcentral.